AGAGGAAAAUCCGUCGACUUUUAAAAUCGUGAGG
RNAcentral lists this transfer RNA (34 nucleotides) under Bacopa monnieri. RNAcentral describes it as "partial tRNA-Leu". The record is from RNAcentral. Lineage: Eukaryota; Viridiplantae; Streptophyta; Magnoliopsida; Lamiales; Plantaginaceae.